GCGGAUGUGGCGGAACUGGCAGACGCGCUGGAUUUAGGUUCCAGUGGAGUAAUCCGUGCAGGUUCGAUUCCUGUCAUCCGUA
RNAcentral lists this transfer RNA (82 nucleotides) under Fructobacillus pseudoficulneus. It matches the Rfam family "tRNA". From Rfam's summary of the family: Transfer RNA (tRNA) molecules are approximately 80 nucleotides in length. Their secondary structure includes four short double-helical elements and three loops (D, anti-codon, and T loops). Lineage: Bacteria; Bacillati; Bacillota; Bacilli; Lactobacillales; Lactobacillaceae. The record is from Rfam by way of RNAcentral.